UGGGGAAUAUUGGACAAUGGGCGCAAGCCUGAUCCAGCCAUGCCGCGCGAGUGAUGAAGGCCCUAGGGUUGUAAAGCUCUUUCAGCGAGGAGGAUAAUGACGUUACUCGCAGAAGAAGCCCCGGCUAACUUCGUGCCAGCAGCCGCGGUAAUACGAAGGGGGCUAGCGUUGUUCGGAAUCACUGGGCGUAAAGCGCACGUAGGCGGACUUUUAAGUCAGGGGUGAAAUCCCGGGGCUCAACCUCGGAACUGCCUUUGAUACUGGAAGUCUGGAGUCCGAGAGAGGUGAGUGGAACUCCGAGUGUAGAGGUGAAAUUCGUAGAUAUUCGGAAGAACACCAGUGGCGAAGGCGGCUCACUGGCUCGGUACUGACGCUGAGUGCGAACCGCGUGGGUGAGCAAACAGGAUUAGAUACCCUGGUAGUCCACGCCGUAACGAUGGAAGCUAGCCGUACAGGGUGCAUGCAUCUUGGUGGCGCAGUUAACGCAUUAAGCUUCCCGCCUGGGGAGUACGGUCGCAAGAUUAAAACUCAAAUGAAUUGACGGGGUCAUAGCUGUUUCCU
This 561-nucleotide ribosomal RNA is filed under the name uncultured bacterium. RNAcentral describes it as "partial 16S ribosomal RNA". It matches the Rfam family "Bacterial small subunit ribosomal RNA", at positions 355 to 1375 of the family's 1533-position model. The record is from RNAcentral.